This 63-nucleotide transfer RNA is filed under the name Sphaerotheriidae sp. HYS-2012. Its description in RNAcentral is "tRNA-His". Lineage: Eukaryota; Metazoa; Arthropoda; Diplopoda; Sphaerotheriida; Sphaerotheriidae. The record is from RNAcentral.
AUUUAAAUAAUUUAUUGUAAAAUAUUAGAGUGUGGAUCUAAAAAUGCUUAUUAGCUUUAAAUU